AUUGAACGCUGGCGGCAGGCCUAACACAUGCAAGUCGAACGGUAACAGGAAGCAGCUUGCUGCUUUGCUGACGAGUGGCGGACGGGUGAGUAAUGUCUGGGAAACUGCCUGAUGGAGGGGGAUAACUACUGGAAACGGUAGCUAAUACCGCAUAACGUCGCAAGACCAAAGAGGGGGACCUUCGGGCCUCUUGCCAUCGGAUGUGCCCAGAGGGGAUUAGCUAGUAGGUGGGGUAACGGCUCACCUAGGCGACGAUCCCUAGCUGGUCUGAGAGGAUGACCAGCCACACUGGAACUGAGACACGGUCCAGACUCCUACGGGAGGCAGCAGUGGGGAAUAUUGCACAAUGGGCGCAAGCCUGAUGCAGCCAUGCCGCGUGUAUGAAGAAGGCCUUCGGGUUGUAAAGUACUUUCAGCGGGGAGGAAGGGAGUAAAGUUAAUACCUUUGCUCAUUGACGUUACCCGCAGAAGAAGCACCGGCUAACUCCGUG
RNAcentral lists this ribosomal RNA (490 nucleotides) under uncultured bacterium. RNAcentral's name for it is "partial 16S ribosomal RNA". It matches the Rfam family "Bacterial small subunit ribosomal RNA", at positions 30 to 507 of the family's 1533-position model. The record is from RNAcentral.